RNAcentral lists this transfer RNA (90 nucleotides) under Sphingomonas sp. Leaf208. RNAcentral's name for it is "tRNA-Phe". It matches the Rfam family "tRNA". Rfam says of the family: Transfer RNA (tRNA) molecules are approximately 80 nucleotides in length. Their secondary structure includes four short double-helical elements and three loops (D, anti-codon, and T loops). Further hydrogen bonds mediate the characteristic L-shaped molecular structure. tRNAs have two regions of fundamental functional importance: the anti-codon, which is responsible for specific mRNA codon recognition, and the 3' end, to which the tRNAs corresponding amino acid is attached (by aminoacyl-tRNA synthetases). tRNAs cope with the degeneracy of the genetic code in two manners: having more than one tRNA (with a specific anti-codon) for a particular amino acid; and 'wobble' base-pairing, i.e. permitting non-standard base-pairing at the 3rd anti-codon position. Lineage: Bacteria; Pseudomonadati; Pseudomonadota; Alphaproteobacteria; Sphingomonadales; Sphingomonadaceae. The record is from RNAcentral.
GGAGCGUUGGCCGAGUGGUCGAUGGCAGCCGGUUGAAAACCGGUAGGGCCUUUCGGGGUCCCGUGGGUUCGAAUCCCACACGCUAUUCUA